RNAcentral lists this long non-coding RNA (694 nucleotides) under Panax ginseng (ginseng). RNAcentral describes it as "long non-coding RNA (PGIN_LNC002392)". The record is from RNAcentral. Lineage: Eukaryota; Viridiplantae; Streptophyta; Magnoliopsida; Apiales; Araliaceae.
CCUCAGAAAAUCUACAAGAUAAUCAAAAGGAAAAGCAACCCAAGACAAGAUCAUAAUGCACAACACUCUGUAAAUCCAAAUCUGUCCGCACUGAUAUAGUGUGUGAGUGUAAAGCAACCACUAACAUGCUACUGAACAAAUUUUUCACAUACUAUGCUUCUUAGAGGAAAAGAACCAGUUUUACAUCAAGAUAAGCAGUAAAUCAAACAAGUUCUAACCAAGACCAUGUAUUACUUAAGUUCAGCGUCAGCUGGGAAAUUUAUGCCUUUAUUUACUCGUGAGGGCGAUUUUUGCACUUUCCCGCGGUGCUUAUUGCUAUUUUUUUAGCGAGUGUGUUUUAUGCUCCAUCUCGCCCCUUCCAAAGAUUCAGUAAUUCAGCUCAAGAAGGUUUCAAGAUAGAUUUUCUUCCUUUUUUUCUUUUUUUUUCAUGCAUAACACUGAAUUCCCCCAAACUUAAGCUUUUAACAGUUCUAGCUAUUACCUAAUAAAGUACUGACAUUCUUUCAUUAAAACACAAAAUUCCCACCAGAAGAUAAAUAUGUGAAAAUUUAAACUAAGCAUAUCAUAAUGGUUACUCAAAAGUGCUAACCAGUUAUAUCAGUGAUAGACAGAUAAGGAUUUAUAUAAUGCUAUGACAUCACAACCCAGCUUAAGUCUCAAAUCAGUUCAAAAAUCAAGUAGUUUUACUUUCAUC